GACGAACGCUGGCGGCGUGCUUAACACAUGCAAGUCGAACGGAAAGGCCCUGCUUUUGUGGGGUGCUCGAGUGGCGAACGGGUGAGUAACACGUGAGUAACCUGCCCUUGACUUUGGGAUAACUUCAGGAAACUGGGGCUAAUACCGGAUAGGAGCUCCUGCUGCAUGGUGGGGGUUGGAAAGUUUCGGCGGUUGGGGAUGGACUCGCGGCUUACCAGCUUGUUGGUGGGGUAGUGGAUUACCAAGGCUUUGACGGGUAGCCGGCCUGGGAGGCUGACCAGACACAAUGGGACGGAGAUACGGGCCAGACUCCUACGGUAAGCAGCAGUGGGAAAUAAUACACAAUGCGCUGAAGCCUGACGCAGAAACGACGCGCGCGGGAGGACGGCCUGCGGGUUGUAAACAGCUUUCGCCUGUGAAGAAGAGUGAGUGACGGUAAUGGGUAAAGAAGCACAGGCUAACUACGUG
Molecule: ribosomal RNA, 468 nt
Filed under: uncultured bacterium
Lineage: Bacteria
Description: partial 16S ribosomal RNA
Rfam family: Bacterial small subunit ribosomal RNA
Source: RNAcentral